Eubacterium ventriosum ATCC 27560 is the source of this 344-nucleotide non-coding RNA. The record is from Rfam. Lineage: Bacteria; Bacillati; Bacillota; Clostridia; Eubacteriales; Eubacteriaceae.
GGGCUAGUACUGGUUUCGACAGGGGCUUGGAAUCUGGUGAAGCUAUCCGCAGGGAGAUGCGUUAAAUCACAACUUAAAAUUAAACGCUGAAGAUAAUUUAGCUUACGCUGCCUAAUUAAAGGCAGCUGUCAAUCCUGGAAGGCCUACGGUCCGGACAUUGGCAUCGACUUUAGUAGGGAACCCUAAAUAUUAAGCUUUGCGUAUUUAGGAGUACUAUGAAGCUACCAAGAGUUAUAGGAUGUUAGUUUUCGAUAACUUGCGGGAAAUUCAAACAACUGACUAUGAUAGUAGAAGAACAGGGGAAAGGUUUUUGGACACGGGUUCGACUCCCGUCUAGUCCACUC